Unclassified non-coding RNA from Mesocricetus auratus (golden hamster), 297 nucleotides. It matches the Rfam family "Metazoan signal recognition particle RNA". From Rfam's summary of the family: The signal recognition particle (SRP) is a universally conserved ribonucleoprotein. It is involved in the co-translational targeting of proteins to membranes. The eukaryotic SRP consists of a 300-nucleotide 7S RNA and six proteins: SRPs 72, 68, 54, 19, 14, and 9. Lineage: Eukaryota; Metazoa; Chordata; Mammalia; Rodentia; Cricetidae. The record is from Ensembl.
GCGGGGCGCAGUGGUGCAUGCCGGUAGUCCCAGCUACUCGGGAGGCUGAGACAGGAGGAUCGCUUGAGUCCAAGAGUUCUGGGCUGUAGUGCGCUAUGCCGAUCGGGUGUCCGCACUAAGUUCGGCAUCAAUAUGGUGACCUCCCGGGAGCGUGGGGCCACCAGGUUACCUAAGGAGGGGUGAACCGGCCCAGGUCGGAAACGGAGCAGGUCAAAACUCCCAUGCUGAUCAUCUUCUGCCUUCUUAUGCACAAACAUGAUUUAUUUCCACCUAGUGAUUAGUAGUAGGUAGACACGU